This 78-nucleotide small RNA is filed under the name Flavobacterium degerlachei. RNAcentral describes it as "Flavo-1 RNA". It matches the Rfam family "Flavo-1 RNA". The record is from RNAcentral. Lineage: Bacteria; Pseudomonadati; Bacteroidota; Flavobacteriia; Flavobacteriales; Flavobacteriaceae.
UCAUAGCCCUGAUGAAAGCGGCAUCCUUUGAUUGCCUCCUUUAGGCAAUUAAAGAUACAGCGAACAGCAGGAAAUGGC